AGAGUUUGAUCAUGGCUCAGGACGAACGCUGGCGGCGCGCCUCACACAUGCAAGUCGAGCGUGUCCCCCGCAAGGAGGCAACGCGGCGGACGGGUGAGUAACACGUGGGCAACCUGCCCACCGGUUCGGGAUAACGGCGGGAAACCGCCGCUAAUACCGGAUGAGGUCCCCGGGAGACAUCUUCUGGGGAGGAAAGGCUCUGCAAGGGGCCGCCGGUGGAGGGGCCCGCGGGCCAUUAGCUAGUUGGCGGGGUAACGGCCCACCAAGGCGACGAUGGCUAGCCGGCCUGAGAGGGUGGUCGGCCACACUGGGACUGAGACACGGCCCAGACUCCUACGGGAGGCAGCAGUGGGGAAUUUUUCGCAAUGGGGGAAACCCUGACGCGAGCGACGCCGUGUGCGCGACGAAGGCCUUAGGGUCGUAAAGCGCUGUCGGUGGGGACGAAGACCGGUGGGCCGAAAGGCCGGCCGGAUGACGGUACCCACGGAGGAAGCCCCGGCUAACUACGUGCCAGCAGCCGCGGUAAUACGUAGGGGGCGAGCGUUGUCCGGAAUGACUGGGCGUAAAGGGCGUCUAGGCGGCACGGUGCGUCGGGAGUGAAAGGCGCGGGCUCAACCCGCGGAGUGCUCUCGAAACGGCCGAGCUAGAGGGCCGGAGAGGGAAGCGGAAUUGCCGGUGUAGCGGUGAAAUGCGUAGAGAUCGGCAGGAACACCAGUGGCGAAGGCGGCUUCCUGGACGGUACCUGACGCUGAAGCGCGAAAGCGUGGGGAGCGAACGGGAUUAGAUACCCCGGUAGUCC
Molecule: ribosomal RNA, 799 nt
Filed under: uncultured bacterium
Lineage: Bacteria
Description: bacterial SSU rRNA
Rfam family: Bacterial small subunit ribosomal RNA
Source: RNAcentral